ACGAACGCUGGCGGCAUGCCUAACACAUGCAAGUCGAACGAGACCUUCGGGUCUAGUGGCGCACGGGUGCGUAACGCGUGGGAAUCUGCCCUUCGGUUGGGAAUAACUGAGAGAAAUUUCAGCUAAUACCUUAUAAUGUCUUCGGACCAAAGAUUUAUCGCCGAGGGAUGAGCCCGCGUAGGAUUAGGUAGUUGGUGGGGUAAUGGCCUACCAAGCCGACGAUCCUUAGCUGGUCUGAGAGGAUGAUCAGCCACACUGGGACUGAGACACGGCCCAGACUCCUACGGGAGGCAGCAGUGGGGAAUAUUGGACAAUGGGCGAAAGCCUGAUCCAGCAAUGCCGCGUGAGUGAUGAAGGCCUUAGGGUUGUAAAGCUCUUUUACCCGGGAUGAUAAUGACAGUACCGGGAGAAUAAGCGCCGGCUAACUCCGUG
This 432-nucleotide ribosomal RNA is filed under the name uncultured bacterium. Its description in RNAcentral is "partial 16S ribosomal RNA". It matches the Rfam family "Bacterial small subunit ribosomal RNA", at positions 29 to 507 of the family's 1533-position model. The record is from RNAcentral.